GAUGAAGAACGGAGCGAAAUGCGAUAAGUAAUGUGAAUUGCAGAAUUCAGUGAAUCAUCGAAUCUUUGAACGCACAUUGCGCCCGCCAGUAUUCUGGCGGGCAUGCCUGUUCGAGCGUCAUUUCAACCAUCAAGCCCUGCUUGCGUUGGGGUCCUGCGGCUGCCCGCAGGCCCUGAAAACCAGUGGCGGGCUCGCUAGUCACACCGAGCGCAGUAAUACAUCUCGCUUUGGGCGUGCGGCGGGUUCUUGCCGUUAAACACCCCCUUUUUACCAAGGUUGACCUCGGAUCAGGCAGGAAUACCCGCUGAACUUAAGCAUAUCAAUAAGCGGAGGA
This 334-nucleotide unclassified non-coding RNA is filed under the name soil metagenome. Its description in RNAcentral is "partial contains 5.8S ribosomal RNA, internal transcribed spacer 2, and large subunit ribosomal RNA". The stretch from base 1 to 120 matches the Rfam family "5.8S ribosomal RNA", at positions 35 to 154 of the family's 154-position model. The record is from RNAcentral.